CCUUCGAUAGCUCAGUUGGUAGAGCGGGGGACUGUAGAUUUAUAAUUGUGAUCCCUAGAUGCUGGGUCGAAUCCGGCUCGAAGAA
This 85-nucleotide transfer RNA is filed under the name Nematostella vectensis (starlet sea anemone). It matches the Rfam family "tRNA". From Rfam's summary of the family: Transfer RNA (tRNA) molecules are approximately 80 nucleotides in length. Their secondary structure includes four short double-helical elements and three loops (D, anti-codon, and T loops). Further hydrogen bonds mediate the characteristic L-shaped molecular structure. tRNAs have two regions of fundamental functional importance: the anti-codon, which is responsible for specific mRNA codon recognition, and the 3' end, to which the tRNAs corresponding amino acid is attached (by aminoacyl-tRNA synthetases). tRNAs cope with the degeneracy of the genetic code in two manners: having more than one tRNA (with a specific anti-codon) for a particular amino acid; and 'wobble' base-pairing, i.e. permitting non-standard base-pairing at the 3rd anti-codon position. Lineage: Eukaryota; Metazoa; Cnidaria; Anthozoa; Actiniaria; Edwardsiidae. The record is from Rfam by way of RNAcentral.